CACAGCUAUCAGCGGGGUCUCUAUAACAGGCCAAUCCAGAUCAAGGGGAACAAAUGAAAGCAUAAAGUUCUUAUAUUUAUCACCUAUAUAUCGUCUGUUUAGAUGUGGACUGCUUUUGAGAUUUAGAAGGCUGAUUGGGAUUGUUUACAUAGUAAUUCAAUAAUGUAAACGCACAUCCCAAUCAGCCUUCUAAAGCUCAA
This 200-nucleotide unclassified non-coding RNA is filed under the name Hevea brasiliensis (rubber tree). Lineage: Eukaryota; Viridiplantae; Streptophyta; Magnoliopsida; Malpighiales; Euphorbiaceae. The record is from RNAcentral.